GUGCCAGCAGCCGCGGUAAUACAGAGGGUGCGAGCGUUGUUCGGAAUUACUGGGCGUAAAGCGCGCGCAGGCGGCUCUUUAAGUCCACUGGUCAAAUGCCGGGGCUCAACCCCGUGCCCGCCAGGGAUACUGGAGAGCUGGAGACACGUAGAGGCAAGCGGAAUUCCGGGUGUAGCGGUGGAAUGCGUAGAGAUCCGGAAGAACACCGGAGGCGAAGGCGGCUUGCUGGGCGUAGUCUGACGCUGAGGCGCGAAAGCGUGGGGAGCGAACAGGAUUAGAUACCCCUGUAGUCC
RNAcentral lists this ribosomal RNA (293 nucleotides) under uncultured bacterium. RNAcentral describes it as "partial 16S ribosomal RNA". It matches the Rfam family "Bacterial small subunit ribosomal RNA", at positions 505 to 796 of the family's 1533-position model. The record is from RNAcentral.